AUGAUUGUAGCUAACACCCUCUUUAGAAAGAGAGAAUCACAUCUGGUGACUUUUAGUAGUGGCCAACACUCUAGCCAGAUUGAUUUCAUCCUCUCGAGAAGAGAAGAUAGGCAUGCGUGCCUAGACUGUAAGGUGAUACCUGGGGAGAGUGUUGUACCCCAGCAUAAGCUGGUGGUUGCUGACUUCCGCUUUCGGAUUCGUGUCCAGCGGGAUAAGCGUGCCAAGGUCGCUAGAACGAAGUGGUGGAAGCUCAAGGGGGAGGUAGCUCAGGUGUUCAAGGAGAGGGUAUUUAAGGAGGGCCCUUGGGAGGAAGGAGGGGAUGCAGACAAUGUGUGGAUGAAGAUGGCGACUUGCAUUCGUAAGGUGGCCUCGGAGGAGUUUGGAGUGUCCAGGGGAAGGAGAAGCGAAGAUAAGGAUACCUGGUGGCGGAAUGAUGAUGUCCAGAAGGCGCUUAAAGAUAAGAAAGAUUGCUUCAGACGCCUAUACCUGGAUAGGAGUGCAGACAACAUAGAGAAGUACAAGAUGGCGAAGAAGGCCGCAAAGCGAGCUGUUGGUGAAGCAAGGGGUCGGGCAUAUGAGGACCUCUACCAACGGUUAGGCACGAAGGAAGGUGAAAGGGACAUCUAUAAGAUGGCUAAGAUCCGGGAGAGGAAGACGAGGGAUAUUGGCCAAGUCAAAUGCAUCAAGGACGGAGCAGGCCAACUCUUGGUGAAGGACGAAGAGAUUAAGCAUAGAUGGCGGGAGUACUUCGACAAGCUGUUCAAUGGGGAGAAUGAGAGUUCUACCAUUGAACUGAAUGACUCCUUUGAUGAGACCAGCAUGCGUUUUGUGCGACGCAUCCAGGAGUCUGAGGUGAAGGAGGCUUUAAAAAGGAUGAAAGGAGGCAAGGCGAUGGGCCCUGAUUGUAUCCCCAUUGAGGUGUGGAAAGGUCUCGGGGACAUAGCGAUAGUAUGGCUAACCAAGCUUUUCAACCUCAUUUUUCGGGCAAACAAGAUGCCAGAAGAAUGGAGACGGAGUAUAUUAGUACCAAUCUUCAAGAACAAGGGAGAUGUUCAGAGUUGUACUAAUUACUGUGGAAUUAAGCUGAUGAGCCAUACAAUGAAGCUAUGGGAGAGAGUCAUUGAGCACCGCUUAAGAAGAAUGACAAGCGUGACCAAAAAUCAGUUUGGUUUCAUGCCUGGGAGGUCGACCAUGGAAGCCAUUUUCUUGGUAUGA
Molecule: ribosomal RNA, 1215 nt
Filed under: Triticum aestivum (bread wheat)
Lineage: Eukaryota; Viridiplantae; Streptophyta; Magnoliopsida; Poales; Poaceae
Description: partial small subunit ribosomal RNA
Source: RNAcentral